Molecule: small nuclear RNA, 104 nt
Organism: Pteronotus mesoamericanus
Lineage: Eukaryota; Metazoa; Chordata; Mammalia; Chiroptera; Mormoopidae
Source: RefSeq, a predicted model, not a curated record
GUGCUCGCUUCAGCACCAUAUAUACUAAAAUCAGAGUGACACAGAGAACAGUAGCAGGUCCCUGUACAAGAAUGACACAAAUAUGUGAAGUGUUCCAUAUUUUU